This 518-nucleotide ribosomal RNA is filed under the name uncultured bacterium. RNAcentral's name for it is "bacterial SSU rRNA". It matches the Rfam family "Bacterial small subunit ribosomal RNA", at positions 373 to 882 of the family's 1533-position model. The record is from RNAcentral.
GGACGAAAGUCUGACGGAGCAACGCCGCGUGAGUGAAGAAGGUUUUCGGAUCGUAAAGCUCUGUCUUCAGGGACGAAUGUGCUUAAUGUGAAUAAUGUUAAGUAAUGACGGUACCUGAGGAGGAAGCCACGGCUAACUACGUGCCAGCAGCCGCGGUAAUACGUAGGUGGCAAGCGUUGUCCGGAAUUAUUGGGCGUAAAGCGCGCGCAGGCGGGAUAUUAAGUCUGUUUUAAAAGUUCGGGGCUCAACCCCGUGAUGGAAUGGAAACUAAUAUUCUUGAGUGCAGGAGAGGAAAGUGGAAUUCCCAGUGUAGCGGUGAAAUGCGUAGAUAUUGGGAGGAACACCAGUGGCGAAGGCGACUUUCUGGACUGUGUCUGACGCUGAGGCGCGAAAGCCAGGGGAGUGAACGGGAUUAGAUACCCCGGUAAUCCUGGCCGUAAACGAUGGGUACUAGGUGUAGGAGGUAUCGACCCCUUCUGUGCCGGAGUUAACGCAAUAAGUACCCCGCCUGGGGAGUA